CCUACGGGUGGCUGCAGUGGGGAAUAUUGCACAAUGGGCGCAAGCCUGAUGCAGCCAUGCCGCGUGUGUGAAGAAGGCCUUCGGGUUGUAAAGCACUUUCAGCGGGGAGGAAGGCGUUAAGGUUAAUAACCUUGGCGAUUGACGUCACCCGCAGAAGAAGCACCGGCUAACUCCGUGCCAGCAGCCGCGGUAAUACGGAGGGUGCAAGCGUUAAUCGGAAUUACUGGGCGUAAAGCGCACGCAGGCGGUCUGUCAAGUCGGAUGUGAAAUCCCCGGGCUCAACCUGGGAACUGCAUUCGAUACUGGCAGGCUAGAGUCUUGUAGAGGGGGGUAGAAUUCCAGGUGUAGCGGUGAAAUGCGUAGAGAUCUGGAGGAAUACCGGUGGCGAAGGCGGCCCCCUGGACAAAGACUGACGCUCAGGUGCGAAAGCGUGGGGAGCAAACAGGAUUAGAUACCCUAGUAGUC
RNAcentral lists this ribosomal RNA (465 nucleotides) under uncultured Klebsiella sp. Its description in RNAcentral is "bacterial SSU rRNA". It matches the Rfam family "Bacterial small subunit ribosomal RNA", at positions 338 to 795 of the family's 1533-position model. The record is from RNAcentral. Lineage: Bacteria; Pseudomonadati; Pseudomonadota; Gammaproteobacteria; Enterobacterales; Enterobacteriaceae.